GCGGAGGAAAAGAAACCAACAGGGAUUGCCCUAGUAACGGCGAGUGAAGCGGCAACAGCUCAAAUUUGAAAUCUGGCGUCUUCGGCGUCCGAGUUGUAAUUUGCAGAGGGCGCUUUGGCAUUGGCAGCGGUCCAAGUUCCUUGGAACAGGACGUCACAGAGGGUGAGAAUCCCGUACGUGGUCGCUAGCCUUUACCGUGUAAAGCCCCUUCGACGAGUCGAGUUGUUUGGGAAUGCAGCUCUAAAUGGGAGGUAAAUUUCUUCUAAAGCUAAAUACUGGCCAGAGACCGAUAGCGCACAAGUAGAGUGAUCGAAAGAUGAAAAGCACUUUGGAAAGAGAGUUAAAAAGCACGUGAAAUUGUUGAAAGGGAAGCGCUUGCAGCCAGACUUGCCUGUAGUUGCUCAUCCGGGUUUCUACCCGGUGCACUCUUCUACGGGCAGGCCAGCAUCAGUUUGGGCGGUUGGAUAAAGGUCUCUGUCAUGUACCUCUCUUCGGGGAGAACUUAUAGGGGAGACGACAUGCAACCAGCCUGGACUGAGGUCCGCGCAUCUGCUAGGAUGCUGGCGUAAUGGCUGUAAGCGGCCCGUCUUGAAACACGGACCAAGGAGUCUAACAUCUAUGCGAGUGUUUGGGUGUCAAGCCCGAGCGCGUAAUGAAAGUGAACGGAGGUGGGAACCCUUCGGGGUGCACCAUCGACCGAUCCUGAUGUCUUCGGAUGGAUUUGAGUAAGAGCAUAGCUGUUGGGACCCGAAAGAUGGUGAACUAUGCUUGAAUAGGGUGAAGCCAGAGGAAACUCUGGUGGAGGCUCGCAGCGGUUCUGACGUGCAAAUCGAUCGUCAAAUUUGGGCA
This 849-nucleotide small RNA is filed under the name Didymella heteroderae. Its description in RNAcentral is "eukaryotic LSU rRNA". It matches the Rfam family "Eukaryotic large subunit ribosomal RNA", at positions 50 to 917 of the family's 3401-position model. Lineage: Eukaryota; Fungi; Ascomycota; Dothideomycetes; Pleosporales; Didymellaceae. The record is from RNAcentral.